Molecule: long non-coding RNA, 1964 nt
Filed under: Carassius auratus (goldfish)
Lineage: Eukaryota; Metazoa; Chordata; Actinopteri; Cypriniformes; Cyprinidae
Description: lncRNA (ENSCARG00000069722.1)
Source: RNAcentral
AUGUGGAAGAGAGAAGGAGUCUCUAUUCUAGAGAAACACAGACAUUCGUUCAGUGAGAGAAACCAAACUCUACACAUCAGCAACAUAACCAGCUCCGAGUACGGCUCGUACAGCUGUAUUGCUUCAAAUGCAUAUGGAGAAUCAGAAAAGCACACAUAUAUUACCGGAAAUGGCACUAGAGAUGAAACUCAGUCUGAUCAAACUGUGCUUUCAAGUGGACUUACACUCACUUGUGUUUUGGGACUGUGCCUCGUGUUCUACUGCCUUUACAAAUACCACCACAGUAAGAUUUUCUCUUAUUUUGCUUUAGCAAAAUAACAACUCUUAGUUUAUCGAACCCACAUCCUCCAUUAUUUGGUUUUAUUCUGUAACUCAGUUUAUCAGUCUCAAAACCUAUGAAUAGUAUGAACUACAGAAAAAAAAAAAAACAUUUUCUCUCAACAAAACUCACCAGCUACUCUGUAGACUAUCCUGAAAUAUAUAGCAUGUAUAGUAUUAUAAAAUGCACUGUGAAAAAUUAGCUUUUGUUUAGUGUAUUUUACAUUUGGUAUACUUUUAACACUAAAGAGUGGACAUUGGCAGAACUAGAUAAAGGUUGAAAAAAAUUCUGAGCUGCAACUAAUAUUAUAAAGUAUCCUAUAAUUUAUAUCCUCACUCUUUAAUACACAGGCGAUGCAGACAAGGUCCAUGGAAUUUAUCAGGUAAUGUACAAAAAGCCAUAAACAUAUAAAUAAUGAUUUCAGUAUAAACAUUUUGAUGGACAUUAAUAUGAUUAGCAUUUAUUAUCUUUAACUUAAAGAUCCCAUAAAAAUAAAUACUGCAGUUUUGUGGCUGUUAUUCCCUCCUUGUUAGCUUAAAGGCAUAGUUCACCCAAAAAUGAAAAUUAUGUCAUUAAUAACUCACCCUCAUGUCGUUCCAAACCUGUAAGACCUCCGUUCAUCUUCGGAACACAGUUUAAGAUAUUUUAGAUUUAGUCCAAAAGCUCUCUGUCCCUCCAUUGAAGCUGUGUGGACGGUAUACUGUCCAUGUCCAGAAAGGUAAGAAAAACAUCAUCAAAGUAGUCCAUGUGACAUCAGAGGGUCAGUUAGAAUUUGCUGAAGCAUCAAAAAUACAUUUUGGUCCAAAAAUAGCAAAAACGACGACCUUAUUCAGCAUUGUCUUCUCUUCUGUGUCUGUUGUGAGGAAGAGUUCAAAACAAAGCAGUCUGGAUAUCCGGUUCGCGAACGAAUCACUCGAUGUAACCGGAUCUUUUUGAACCAGUUCACCAAAUCGAACUGAAUCGUUUUAAACUGUUUGCGUCUCCAAUACGCAUUAAUCCACAAAUGACUUAAGAUGUUAACUUUUUUAAUGUGGCUGACACUUCAUCUGACGAGUCAAUUGCUCGUUCGUUAUCUGGCUCGGCUCUGUGUUUAUCUUCAGUUCUCUCUUCACAGCAGUUCAGUCAGUGUACUGUUUGAGUAAAUGAACUACUCGGGGAUAUUGGUUUGUUUUAACUCAGAGGAAGUGUCAGCCACAUUAAAAAAGUCAACAGCUUAAGUCAUUUGUGGAUUAAUGCUUAUUGGAGACGCGAACCGUUUCAAAAGAUUCAGUUCGAUUUGGUGAACUGGUUCAAGAAGAUCCAGUUACAUCGAGUGAUUAGUUCGCAAAACGGAUAUCAUUGAACUGUUGUGUUUUGAACUCUCUCACAACAGACACAGAAGAGAAGACAAUGCUGAAUAAAGUCGUAGUUUUUGUUAUUUUUUUAUCAAAAUGUAUUUUCGAUGCUUCAAAAAAAUUCUAACCGACCCUCUGAUGUCAUACUACUUUGAUGAUGUUGUUCUUUCCUUUCUGGACAUGGACAGUAUACUGUCCACACAGUUUCAAUGGAGGGACUGAGAGCUCUCGGACUAAAUCUAAAAUAUCUUAAACUGUGUUCCGAAGAUAAACGUAGGUCUUAAAUGUUUGGAACAGCAUAAGGGUUAGUU